RNAcentral lists this ribosomal RNA (1139 nucleotides) under Chaetonotus dadayi. Its description in RNAcentral is "SSU rRNA". It matches the Rfam family "Eukaryotic small subunit ribosomal RNA", at positions 115 to 1717 of the family's 1831-position model. Lineage: Eukaryota; Metazoa; Gastrotricha; Chaetonotida; Chaetonotidae. The record is from RNAcentral.
AUUUAUUAGAUCGUGCGUUCCUAUAUGGAUAACUGUGGUAAUUCUAGAGCGAAUGCCCCCGUCUGUCCCUAACUUAACGGAGGGGCGCUUUCAUUAGAUCAAAACCAAUCAGACCUAGGUCUAUUUUUGUGAUUAUUCCUGACAACUUUGUGCAGACCACACGGCCUUGCGCCGGCGGCGUAGCACUCUAAUGUCUGCCCUAUCAACUUUCGAUGGUAGGUGGCAUUCCUAGCACGGUUGUAACGGGUAACGGAGAAUCAGGGUUCGAUUCCGGAGAGGGAGCCUGAGAAACGGCUACCAAAUCCAAGGACGGCAGCAGGCCCGCAAAUUACGGACACCCGGCACGGGGAGGUAGUGACGAAAAAUCACAAUGCUGAGAUCCAACUACGGUAACUGCAACAAUUACGCUUUACAUCCUUUAACGUGGAGCUAGUGGAAUUCAAGGCUGGUGCCAGCAGCCGCGGUAAUUCCAGCUCCACGAGCAUGUACGUAAGUUGUUCCAGUUACAAAGCUCGUAGUUGGAUCUCAGACUUGUUGCCGGUGGUCCGCCCGAUACGGGUGUGUACUUUUGGGCCCGGUCUACGUCUCCUUUAAAAGUCUAUAGUGCCCUUAACCGGGUGCUCCGGAAUGCCAGGAAGUUUACACUGAAAAAAUUUCAGUGCUCCGAGGAAGCCGUUUGUCCCUCUAAGAAGCAAAUCGGGUCGCCACAAUGGGAUCGCCCGUCUAUUUAGCAGGCUUUCAGAGUCUCGUUCGUUAUCGGAAUUAACCGACGGGGGCAUUCGUAUUGCGCUGUUAGAGGUGAACGCCUUGGAUCGCCUCAAGAAGAACAUCUGCGAAAGCAUUUGCCAAGGAUGUUUUCAUUAACGGUGCCUGGCCGGGUGAGUUCCCGUGUUGAUCAAAUUAAGCCGCAGGCUCAACCCCUGGUGGUGCCCUCCGUCAAUUCCUUUAAGUUUAGCUUUGCUAACUCGGCAUACUUCCCCCGGCAAUAACAGAUCUGUGAGGCCCGGAGGAAGUAUGGUUGCAAAGCUGAAACUUAAAGCCAGUAACGGCGAGACGCCAGCUUGCAUCGUUUAUGUCCCUCCCUUUGACUCAACGCCCGUCGCAACUACCGAUUGAACGGUUCUGAUCGUCUUCGAACC